RNAcentral lists this ribosomal RNA (520 nucleotides) under uncultured bacterium. RNAcentral describes it as "bacterial SSU rRNA". It matches the Rfam family "Bacterial small subunit ribosomal RNA", at positions 120 to 674 of the family's 1533-position model. The record is from RNAcentral.
GGGAACGUACCCUUCGGUUCGGAAUAACUCAGGGAAACUUGAGCUAAUACCGGAUACGCCCUUUUGGGGAAAGGUUUACUGCCGAAGGAUCGGCCCGCGUCUGAUUAGCUUGUUGGUGGGGUAACGGCCUACCAAGGCGACGAUCAGUAGCUGGUCUGAGAGGAUGAUCAGCCACACUGGGACUGAGACACGGCCCAGACUCCUACGGGAGGCAGCAGUGGGGAAUAUUGGACAAUGGGCGCAAGCCUGAUCCAGCCAUGCCGCGUGAGUGAUGAAGGCCUUAGGGUUGUAAAGCUCUUUUGUCCGGGACGAUAAUGACGGUACCGGAAGAAUAAGCCCCGGCUAACUUCGUGCCAGCAGCCGCGGUAAUACGAAGGGGGCUAGCGUUGCUCGGAAUCACUGGGCGUAAAGGGCGCGUAGGCGGCCGAUUAAGUCGGGGGUGAAAGCCUGUGGCUCAACCACAGAAUUGCCUUCGAUACUGGUUGGCUUGAGACCGGAGGAGGACAGCGGAACUGCGAGU